This is a long non-coding RNA of Vespa crabro (European hornet), 1200 nucleotides long. RefSeq lists it as uncharacterized. The record is from RefSeq and is a predicted model, not a curated record. NCBI's taxonomy places the organism in Eukaryota, Metazoa, Arthropoda, Insecta, Hymenoptera, Vespidae. The transcript is spliced from 2 exons.
CAUAAAUUGAUCAUUAACGGACAAUCAAUGUGUUAAGUUAUAAGUUGGUGGAUUUUGAUAGAAGUGUCCUAAAUUAUUCAAAUGAUAAUUCUCUUGAUACUAAUGCACAUUUAAAGAACCCUAUCACCAAUACAGAUAUUGUUUGUUCGACGAAUCGCUAUAAAGACUGAUGAUUCAACUGAGCGCGAUAAUCCAAUUAAUUAUUAUUUCUGCAAUUACGUUUGCACGAGACAAUAUAUGAGGAAGAUAAUCACUUGAAUAAAUUGAGUAAGUUAAUCGAGAGACGAUGUAAGUGCAGGAUACGAUUGUUUAGAUUUUUCUAUUAAUAUCACUCCCAGAUGUACGAUCGGAUCUAUAUUUGGCUUUAUUUUAUCGAUCAUUUGAAUUAACUUUGAUAACAUUCGAAACCCCAAUGCUGAUAUUCUCCGUAUAUUUUACGCGAUAACAAUGCCGAUGGGUUUCCCAUGUGAUCUAACGAUUGAUUAUUUCCCCUCCAACAAGGGACUUAGCCAAUUCAGCUCCCUCACAGGAAGCGACGACAAUUUCAAUUUACAAUUUGUUUAAAGAGCCUUACGUGACAUAUAGAAAGAUAGAGGUAAUUGAAGAGGGGAGAAAAGACGUAUGUGUAUGUGUGUUUGUAUUUGUGUUUGUGAGAAAAAUAGUGAGAUAAAAAUAGAGAGAACGAGAAACAGGAGAAAGAGAUUUAGUACAAAUAUUAAUCAUAUAAAAAAGAAGUCGAACUUUUUACAUGUGAUUGAUAACUUUCGAUGUAAAUAUAAUCUUGAAAGAUAAUAUAAAUAUUAUAUAUAUAUAUACAUACAUACAUACAUAUAUAUAUAUAUAUAUAGAAAAUAAAAAGCGACAUUCAAAAAAGUCAAUUGUUUGAAUUGAAUAUCUGUGGUCAAUUCACGAUAAAGAGCAUACUUGCACAUGCAUGUUAUUAUGAAUGAAAUGUUCAUAUUAGAAAAGCGAAGAAGAGAACGUGUUUAUAAUCAUUCUACUUGCCAGACUUUAUGGUGGUACUAGUGCUUGCCAAUAUUUCUCUUUCUGGAGAUAACAAUUCAAGAAGUAUGUGCGCUGGUGGUUCUAAAUUGUGCAGAGACAAACAUCCGCUUUCGGUCUCCCCGGCUAAAAAUCUUUUUGGUGCCGUAAAUACAUAUCCUCUGUAAAAAAUAAAAAGAUACAACGCAAAAAAAUUAA